AUACGUAGGUGACAAGCGUUAUCCGGAUUUACUGGGCGUAAAGGGCGUGUAGGCGGUCUUGCAAGUCAGAAGUGAAAUUCCUGAGCUCAACUCGGGCGCUGCUUCUGAAACUGCAGGACUUGAGUGCUGGAGGGGAUAGCGGAAUUCCUAGUGGAGCGGUAAAAUGCGCAGAUAUUAGGAAGAACACCGGUGGCGAAGGCGGCUAUCUGGACAGUAACUGACGCUGAGGCGCGAAAGCGUGGGGAGAAAACAGGAUUAGAUACCCUUGUAGUCCACGCCGUAAACGAUGAAUACUAGGUGUAGGGGGUAUCGACUCCCUCUGUGCCGCAGUUAACACAAUAAGUAUUCCGCCUGGGGAGUACGGCCGCAAGGUUGAAACUCAAAGGAAUUGACGGGG
RNAcentral lists this ribosomal RNA (397 nucleotides) under uncultured bacterium. Its description in RNAcentral is "partial 16S ribosomal RNA". It matches the Rfam family "Bacterial small subunit ribosomal RNA", at positions 523 to 918 of the family's 1533-position model. The record is from RNAcentral.